Molecule: ribosomal RNA, 447 nt
Filed under: uncultured bacterium
Lineage: Bacteria
Description: partial 16S ribosomal RNA
Rfam family: Bacterial small subunit ribosomal RNA
Source: RNAcentral
AGCGAACGCUGGCGGCAGGCCUAACACAUGCAAGUCGAGCGCCCCGCAAGGGGAGCGGCAGACGGGAGAGUAACACGUGGGAACGUACCCUUUGGUUCGGAACAACCCAGGGAAACUUGGGCUAAUACCGGAUAAGCCCUUACGGGGAAAGAUUCAUCGCCGAAGGAUCGGCCCGCGUCUGAUUAGCUAGUUGGUGGGGUAACGGCCCACCAAGGCGACGAUCAGUAGCUGGUCUGAGAGGAUGAUCAGCCUCACUGGGACUGAGACACGGCCCAGACUCCUACGGGAGGCAGCAGUGGGGAAUAUUGGACAAUGGGCGCAAGCCUGAUCCAGCCACGCCGCGUGGGUGAUGAAGGCCCUAGGGUUGUAAAGCCCUUUCGGCGGGGAAGAUAAUGACGGUACCCGCAGAAGAAGCCCCGGCUAACUUCGUGCCAGCAGCCGCAGUAA